RNAcentral lists this ribosomal RNA (253 nucleotides) under uncultured bacterium. RNAcentral describes it as "partial 16S ribosomal RNA". It matches the Rfam family "Bacterial small subunit ribosomal RNA", at positions 524 to 776 of the family's 1533-position model. The record is from RNAcentral.
UACAGAGGUCUCAACCGUUGUUCGGAUUCAUUGGGCGUAAAGGGUGCGUAGGCGGUCGUGCAAGUCGGAUGUGAAAUCUCAGGGCUCAACCCUGAAACUGCAUUCGAUACUGCGUGGCUAGAGUGCUGGAGAGGAGACUGGAAUUUACGGUGUAGCAGUGAAAUGCGUAGAUAUCGUAAGGAAGACCAGUGGCGAAGGCGGCCGGCUGGGCCGUUCCUGACGCUGAGGCGCGAAGGCGUGGGGAGCGAACAGG